Molecule: long non-coding RNA, 1551 nt
Organism: Myotis lucifugus (little brown bat)
Lineage: Eukaryota; Metazoa; Chordata; Mammalia; Chiroptera; Vespertilionidae
Exons: 5
Source: RefSeq, a predicted model, not a curated record
ACGGCCCCAUCUGGCCUCGGCACCACCCCCCUCACCACUCCCCAGCCCCCACUUCUCUUGAACACCAAACUUAUGUUUUCUUCUUUCCCCGGGAAGGUAGCGGGGAAGCUGAAAGCCAGCCUUGGAGGAGACUCCGCAAAGGGUAGGUCAGACACCCCUUUGGACGGAGAUUUCGUGCGUAAAAGCCGCGUCUGAGGCAGGGCUGCGGACCAGCGCUCUUCCGAGAAAACGGGAAGAAGGCUGUUUUGCUUCGCUUGAAACCGACCGAAUCUCAAAGCCAUUCGGCCUACCCAGGACCCAGACGAAAAAUGAAGACAUGCCCAUAAAGAGAGAUGUACAAUAAUGCUCUCGCGGCUUUGCUCAUAAUCACCCCAAGCUGAAAACAACCCAAAUGCCCAUUAACAGGAGGUGAAUAUAUGAAUUGUGGACAUGUAUACAACGGAAUUCUGCAUGACCAUCAAGAAGGGUAAGCUACCACUGGGUACCAGAGCAUGUGUGGAUCUCACAGACGCGAUGUCACAGCUAAGGAAGCCAGAAGUAUAUACCGAGGAGUUAAAGUUCAAGAACAGAUUCCCUGACAGGCAUGAUGGGUCUGGGACGAUUCUCUGAUCUGCCUGAUGGCUCAACAGACUUUCCUCCGCCAGGACCAGAUGGAUCAGGGAAGCUUUCAGCCUUGUUCCCACAUGGAACUCCUCUCAUUGCCCUCGUCCUUCCCCUGCAGGGAGGGCCUCAGAAGGACAGGGCCUUGCCUGUCCCCAGGGGCCUGGUGACGCCUGCAGAAUGGCGGGCUCUCACUGUUGGAGAGAGGACUCCAAGGAGCUGCCCCUCGUAGCCUACAAGACCCAGAGCGAAGAAAAGUGGGGGUUUUUCUCUUUGGUAACCCAGGUACUCCUGCCAGGCUCCUUCCUGUGCGGUGGCCUUGCUGCUAGGAUGAAUGGGACCCUCGCUCUGCCCAGCAGCCACCGCAGUUGUGAUGGUUAGAUCCUUGGAGUCCCUGUUCUGUACAGUCAAGCAUUGGGCAUAGAGCAGUGACUAAACAGCCCUCGUGUCUGCCACACGGAGCUUCCAGUCUAUUGGGGGAGACAGCCUCAGUCAAAUACACGGAGCACGUGUGAUGUAGGAGGGAAGCUAUUAAGAAACAGCCCACGUCCUGCUAUGCGGCGCUAACCUGAAGAAUUUCACCUGCCCACUGGCUGCACGACGUUGAACAAGACAACUAACCAACCACUCAGCACAUGUUUGUCGUCUGAAAAGUAGUAUCAGUCACAGAUCACUUCCAGGGAAUGAAUCGGGACCACCACGGCUGGCCAGAUGACCGAAACCCGCUGCCAGCCACAGCCUGGCAUGGCUGCCUUUGAAAUGCGGACACCCCUUCCCUAAUCCCGGGCUCCCAUCCCUAAGCCUGCCACAAACCCUAACCCAGACCUUUCUUUCUGGGAGGUGGGAUUGGUGAUGGUGGCAAAUUACACCUAUCUGCGCUGUUCCAGCAUUGGUUACCAUAAAUGUGUUAUUUUUAUAAAAAUACCAAUUUAAUUUUGUAUUAAAUCAUCU